CGUGAAACCGGUGAGAUCGAAACGGAUAGAGCCAGCGUAUCUGGCCUGUAUUCAACCGUUGAGCUGAUGCCGGCGGGGUUGUCGUUUCCAGACUGGGGCGCGGUCUUGUCUGGUGUUGGUGUGAUGGUGCAUUUGCAGGUGGUGUGCGCCGAGGCGCUCAGGGCAGCGGUAUGAGCUCAGUUUUGAGGCCAGCCCGCAAGGGUCUGGUACCCGGACUGGGGGAGUGUUGUUUGCUCUGGGUGUGCUUGAGAGGCAUGGCUCACGGGCUCGUGUGGGUGCCGAGCUGGAAAUCGGUUACGGUCGCAUGCGACACGUGCCGGUGGCUAGUUCGGUCCUGUUCGAGUUCUCAUGCUCAUCCUCGGUGUAAAAGCUGGUCAUCUAUCCGACCCGUCUUGAAACACGGACCAAGGAGUUUAUCGUGUGCGCGAGUCAUUGGGUGUUGAAAACCCAAAGGCGAAAUGAAAGUGAAGGUGCCCGCAAGGGGCUGACGUGCGAUCCGGUCUGUCUCGGCAAGCCGGCGCAGCAUGGCCCCAUCCUAACUGCUUGCAGUGGGGUGGAGGUAGAGCGUACGCGAUGAGACCCGAAAGAUGGUGAACUAUUCCUGAGCAGGACGAAGCCAGAGGAAACUCUGGUGGAAGUCCGAAGCGAUUCUGACGUGCAAAUCGAUCGUCUGACUUGGGUAUAGGGGCGAAAGACUAAUCGAACCAUCUAG
RNAcentral lists this ribosomal RNA (712 nucleotides) under Quinisulcius capitatus. Its description in RNAcentral is "partial large subunit ribosomal RNA". It matches the Rfam family "Eukaryotic large subunit ribosomal RNA", at positions 398 to 947 of the family's 3401-position model. The record is from RNAcentral. Lineage: Eukaryota; Metazoa; Nematoda; Chromadorea; Rhabditida; Telotylenchidae.